CUGCUGCCUUCCGUAGGAGUUUGGACCGUGUCUCAGUUCCAAUGUGGGGGACCUUCCUCUCAGAACCCCUACGCAUCGUCGGCUUGGUGGGCCGUUGCCCCACCAACUACCUAAUGCGCCGCAUGCCCAUCCAUGACCGGGGUCGCCCCCUUUGACCGGCAGGGGAUGUCCCCUCCCGGCAUUAUGUUGUAUUAGGCGGGAUUUCUCCCGGUUAUCCAUCUGUCACGGCCAGGUUGCAUACGUGUUACUCACCUGCGCGCCGGUCGCCGG
RNAcentral lists this ribosomal RNA (270 nucleotides) under uncultured bacterium. Its description in RNAcentral is "partial 16S ribosomal RNA". The record is from RNAcentral.